Molecule: transfer RNA, 64 nt
Filed under: Marisa cornuarietis
Lineage: Eukaryota; Metazoa; Mollusca; Gastropoda; Architaenioglossa; Ampullariidae
Description: tRNA-Cys
Source: RNAcentral
CUUACUAUAGUUUAGAUAAAACAUAGAGUUGCAAACUCUAAGAAAAUAUAAUUUUUUAGUAAGC